This 403-nucleotide long non-coding RNA is filed under the name Anas platyrhynchos platyrhynchos (common mallard). RNAcentral's name for it is "lncRNA (ENSAPLG00000018859.1)". The record is from RNAcentral. Lineage: Eukaryota; Metazoa; Chordata; Aves; Anseriformes; Anatidae.
GUGUCUGAGUCCCUGCCCUGCGUGCCUCAGGUGCGGCCAUUCUGCAGGAAACCUGGCGGGGCUGGGACAGGGCUGCACCUCUUGGCCUCGGUGCGGAUGCAGGCUGUCAGCGGGGAGACGCGCAAGUACAUGGAGGAAUCUCAGAGCUCCGUCUGAAGGAUUUGGCAGUGGUUUAGGUGCCUGCGGGGGAGAGGAGACAAUAAGAGCGUUUGUUGGGCGGCUCAUCCAGCGAAACGUGCGGCUCUGCAGCUGGGUGCCGUGGCUGCUGUGGGAGGCCCGGCUGAAGCUGAGGCAGGAGAACCCCAGCAGGGCCUGCUUGUCUGAGGGAACAAAGUUUGUCAUCCUGAGACACCAGACCUUUGACGAGACUCAGAAGACGAAGAGCGUGUUGGCGAAGUGCUAG